UUAUGGCUCAGGAUGAACGCUAGCGGCAGGCUUAACACAUGCAAGUCGAGGGGCAUCGGGAGUAGCAAUACUUGCCGGCGACCGGCGCAAGGGUGCGUAACGCGUGAGCAACAUGCCCGUAUCAGGGGGAUAAUCCAUGGAAACGUGGUCUAAUACCCCAUAGUAAUUAUGUAAGGCAUCUUAUAUAAUUUAAAGCUUUGGUGGAUACGGAUUGGCUCGCGUGACAUUAGCUGGAUGGUAAGGUAACGGCUUACCAUGGCUACGAUGUCUAGGGGUUCUGAGAGGAAGGUCCCCCCACACUGGAACUGAGACACGGUCCAGACUCCUACGGGAGGCAGCAGUGAGGAAUAUUGGACAAUGGAUGGAAAUCUGAUCCAGCCAUGCCGCGUGCAGGAAAGACGGCCCUAUGGGUUGUAAACUGCUUUUGUAUGGGAGCAAUAAGGGCUACGUGUAGUCCGAUGAGAGUACCAUACGAAUAAGCACCGGCUAACUCCGUGCCAGCAGCGGC
This 508-nucleotide ribosomal RNA is filed under the name uncultured bacterium. RNAcentral describes it as "bacterial SSU rRNA". It matches the Rfam family "Bacterial small subunit ribosomal RNA", at positions 17 to 518 of the family's 1533-position model. The record is from RNAcentral.